CUUAACUCCCUAAUCUUACCUCAUUUGCACUCACUGUAUAUAGACUUUUUGUUUUAUUUGUUCUACUGUAUUAUUGACUGUAUGUUUUGUUUAUUCCAUGUGUACCUCUGUGUUGUUGUAUGUGUCUAACUGCUUUGCUUUACCUUGGCCAGGUCGCAGUUGUAAAUGAGAACUUGUUCUCAACUAGCCUACCUGGUUAAAUAAAGGUGAAAUAAAUUUUUAUUUUUUAUUUUUUAUAUUCUCCCUCAAAUACACAGGCAUUGUGCAUGUUGCUCUACAGAGGAGAGGAGGUAACAUGGAGAUCCUACUACUACAGAGGAGAGGAGGUAACAUUGAGAUCCUACUACUACAGAGGAGAGGAGGUAACAUGGAGAUCCUACUACUACAGAGGAGAGGAGGUAACAUGGAGAUCCUCCUACUACAGAGGAGAGGAGGUAACAUGGAGAUCCUACUACUACAGAGGAGAGGAGGUAACAUGGAGAUCCUACUACUACAGAGGAGAGGAGGUAACAUGGAGAUCCUACUACUACAGAGGAGAGGAGGUAACAUGGAGGUCUACUACGACAGAGGGAGGUCUACAGGAUAUCCUACUACUACGACAGAGGGAGGUCUACAGGAUAUCCUACUACUACGACAGAGGGAGGUCUACAGGAUAUCCUACUACUACGACAGAGGAGAGGAGGUAACAUGGAG
Molecule: long non-coding RNA, 693 nt
Organism: Oncorhynchus tshawytscha (Chinook salmon)
Lineage: Eukaryota; Metazoa; Chordata; Actinopteri; Salmoniformes; Salmonidae
Source: Ensembl